RNAcentral lists this ribosomal RNA (2144 nucleotides) under Escherichia coli. RNAcentral describes it as "partial 23S ribosomal RNA". It matches the Rfam family "Bacterial large subunit ribosomal RNA", at positions 805 to 2925 of the family's 2925-position model. The record is from RNAcentral. Lineage: Bacteria; Pseudomonadati; Pseudomonadota; Gammaproteobacteria; Enterobacterales; Enterobacteriaceae.
UGACUUGUGGCUGGGGGUGAAAGGCCAAUCAAACCGGGAGAUAGCUGGUUCUCCCCGAAAGCUAUUUAGGUAGCGCCUCGUGAAUUCAUCUCCGGGGGUAGAGCACUGUUUCGGCAAGGGGGUCAUCCCGACUUACCAACCCGAUGCAAACUGCGAAUACCGGAGAAUGUUAUCACGGGAGACACACGGCGGGUGCUAACGUCCGUCGUGAAGAGGGAAACAACCCAGACCGCCAGCUAAGGUCCCAAAGUCAUGGUUAAGUGGGAAACGAUGUGGGAAGGCCCAGACAGCCAGGAUGUUGGCUUAGAAGCAGCCAUCAUUUAAAGAAAGCGUAAUAGCUCACUGGUCGAGUCGGCCUGCGCGGAAGAUGUAACGGGGCUAAACCAUGCACCGAAGCUGCGGCAGCGACACUAUGUGUUGUUGGGUAGGGGAGCGUUCUGUAAGCCUGUGAAGGUGGCCUGUGAGGGUUGCUGGAGGUAUCAGAAGUGCGAAUGCUGACAUAAGUAACGAUAAAGCGGGUGAAAAGCCCGCUCGCCGGAAGACCAAGGGUUCCUGUCCAACGUUAAUCGGGGCAGGGUGAGUCGACCCCUAAGGCGAGGCCGAAAGGCGUAGUCGAUGGGAAACAGGUUAAUAUUCCUGUACUUGGUGUUACUGCGAAGGGGGGACGGAGAAGGCUAUGUUGGCCGGGCGACGGUUGUCCCGGUUUAAGCGUGUAGGCUGGUUUUCCAGGCAAAUCCGGAAAACCAAGGCUGAGGCGUGAUGACGAGGCACUACGGUGCUGAAGCGACAAAUGCCCUGCUUCCAGGAAAAGCCUCUAAGCAUCAGGUAACAUCAAAUCGUACCCCAAACCGACACAGGUGGUCAGGUAGAGAAUACCAAGGCGCUUGAGAGAACUCGGGUGAAGGAACUAGGCAAAAUGGUGCCGUAACUUCGGGAGAAGGCACGCUGAUAUGUAGGUGAAGCGACUUGCUCGUGGAGCUGAAAUCAGUCGAAGAUACCAGCUGGCUGCAACUGUUUAUUAAAAACACAGCACUGUGCAAACACGAAAGUGGACGUAUACGGUGUGACGCCUGCCCGGUGCCGGAAGGUUAAUUGAUGGGGUUAGCGGUAACGCGAAGCUCUUGAUCGAAGCCCCGGUAAACGGCGGCCGUAACUAUAACGGUCCUAAGGUAGCGAAAUUCCUUGUCGGGUAAGUUCCGACCUGCACGAAUGGCGUAAUGAUGGCCAGGCUGUCUCCACCCGAGACUCAGUGAAAUUGAACUCGCUGUGAAGAUGCAGUGUACCCGCGGCAAGACGGAAAGACCCCGUGAACCUUUACUAUAGCUUGACACUGAACAUUGAGCCUUGAUGUGUAGGAUAGGUGGGAGGCUUUGAAGUGUGGACGCCAGUCUGCAUGGAGCCGACCUUGAAAUACCACCCUUUAAUGUUUGAUGUUCUAACGUUGGCCCGUAAUCCGGGUUGCGGACAGUGUCUGGUGGGUAGUUUGACUGGGGCGGUCUCCUCCUAAAGAGUAACGGAGGAGCACGAAGGUUGGCUAAUCCUGGUCGGACAUCAGGAGGUUAGUGCAAUGGCAUAAGCCAGCUUGACUGCGAGCGUGACGGCGCGAGCAGGUGCGAAAGCAGGUCAUAGUGAUCCGGUGGUUCUGAAUGGAAGGGCCAUCGCUCAACGGAUAAAAGGUACUCCGGGGAUAACAGGCUGAUACCGCCCAAGAGUUCAUAUCGACGGCGGUGUUUGGCACCUCGAUGUCGGCUCAUCACAUCCUGGGGCUGAAGUAGGUCCCAAGGGUAUGGCUGUUCGCCAUUUAAAGUGGUACGCGAGCUGGGUUUAGAACGUCGUGAGACAGUUCGGUCCCUAUCUGCCGUGGGCGCUGGAGAACUGAGGGGGGCUGCUCCUAGUACGAGAGGACCGGAGUGGACGCAUCACUGGUGUUCGGGUUGUCAUGCCAAUGGCACUGCCCGGUAGCUAAAUGCGGAAGAGAUAAGUGCUGAAAGCAUCUAAGCACGAAACUUGCCCCGAGAUGAGUUCUCCCUGACUCCUUGAGGGUCCUGAAGGAACGUUGAAGACGACGACGUUGAUAGGCCGGGUGUGUAAGCGCAGCGAUGCGUUGAGCUAACCGGUACUAAUGAACCGUGAGGCUUAACCUU